Molecule: unclassified non-coding RNA, 178 nt
Filed under: uncultured fungus
Lineage: Eukaryota; Fungi
Also listed under: 1 other name
Description: sequence contains ITS1, 5.8S rRNA gene
Source: RNAcentral
AUGAGUUAGGGUCUUCUAGGCCCGAUCUCCAACCCUUUGUAUAAAUACCAUGUUGCUUUGGCGGGCCCGUCUUUAACCGGACCGCCGAAGGUUUUUUAACCUUUGGCCAGUGCUCGUCAAUAGCCCACAAUCAAAUUCUUUUAACCAUGUCAAAUCUGAAAACUAGUUAAAUAAACUA